This is a long non-coding RNA of Loxodonta africana (African savanna elephant), 216 nucleotides long. RefSeq lists it as uncharacterized. Lineage: Eukaryota; Metazoa; Chordata; Mammalia; Proboscidea; Elephantidae. The record is from RefSeq and is a predicted model, not a curated record. The transcript is spliced from 3 exons.
AUUACAGAGAGAAACUGGAAGCCCUCUUGGACUCUUCCAUCGACCACCACAAUCCUACAGCAAUCAGGCAAUUCUUCUACCAGUCUUGCACUGAAUUUGGGUUCUUUCACACCACGGAUUCAAAGAACCAGCCCUUCACUGGAUUGCCUCUCAGUUAUUUUGUUCAACAAUGUUCUGAUUUCUUUGGCCCUAAGUUCAAUAACGAUUCAUUGAAUA